ACGGGCUCAACCCGUUUCAGCAUUCAAAACUGUGGUUCUUGAGUAAUGCAGAGGUAGGCGGAAUUCCCGGUGUAGCGGUGGAAUGCGUAGAUAUCGGGAGGAACCCCCGUGGCGAAGGCGGCCUACUGGGCAUCAACUGACGCUGAGGCUCGAAAGCAUGGGUAGCAAACAGGAUUAGAUACCCUGGUAGUCCAUGCUGUAAACGAUGAUUACUAGGUGUGGGAAGAUUGACCCUUUCCGUGCCGCAGUUAACACAAUAAGUAAUCCACCUGGGGAGUACGACCGCAAGGUUGAAACUCAAAGGAAUUGACGGGGGCCCGCACAAGCAGUGGAGUAUGUGGUUUAAUUCGAAGCAACGCGAAGAACCUUACCAGGUCUUGACAUCCAACGACCGCCUAAGAGAUUAGGCUUUCCUUCGGGACGUUGAGACAGGUGGUGCAUGGUUGUCGUCAGCUCGUGUCGUGAGAUGUUGGGUUAAGUCCCGCAACGAGCGCAACCCUUAUUACUAGUUACUACGCAAGAGGACUCUAGUGAGACUGCCGUUGACAAAACGGAGGAAGGUGGGGAUGACGUCAAAUCAUCAUGCCCUUUAUGACCUGGGCUACACACGUACUACAAUGGCUAUUAACAGAGAGAAGCGAGACCGCAAGGUGGAGCAAACCUCAGAAAAAUAGUCUCAGUCCGGAUUGGGGGCUGCAACCCGCCCCCAUGAAGCCGGAAUUGCUAGUAAUCGCGGAUCAGCAUGCCGCGGUGAAUACGUUCCCGGGCCUUGUACACACCGCCCGUCACACCAUGAGAGCCGGGGGGACCCGAAGUCGGUAGUCUAACCGCAAGGAGGACGCCGCCGAAGGUAAAACUGGUGAUUGGGGUGAAGUCGUAACAAGGUAACCGUAAAGGGCGAAUU
RNAcentral lists this ribosomal RNA (904 nucleotides) under uncultured Anaerofilum sp. RNAcentral's name for it is "bacterial SSU rRNA". It matches the Rfam family "Bacterial small subunit ribosomal RNA", at positions 603 to 1512 of the family's 1533-position model. The record is from RNAcentral. Lineage: Bacteria; Bacillati; Bacillota; Clostridia; Eubacteriales; Oscillospiraceae.